Molecule: ribosomal RNA, 459 nt
Filed under: uncultured bacterium
Lineage: Bacteria
Description: partial 16S ribosomal RNA
Rfam family: Bacterial small subunit ribosomal RNA
Source: RNAcentral
CCUACGGGUGGCAGCAGUGAGGAAUAUUGGUCAAUGGGCGCGAGCCUGAACCAGCCAAGUCGCGUGAGGGAAGACGGUCCUAUGGAUUGUAAACCUCUUUUGUCGGGGAGCAAAAGACGCCACGUGUGGCGUUCCGAGAGUACCCGAAGAAAAAGCAUCGGCUAACUCCGUGCCAGCAGCCGCGGUAAUACGGAGGAUGCGAGCGUUAUCCGGUUUUAUUGGGUUUAACGGGUGCGCAGGCGGAAGUUCAAGUCAGCGGUAAAAUUGAGAGGCUCAACCUCUAAGCGCCGUUGAAACUGGUUUUCUUGAGUGAGCGAGAGGUAUGCGGAAUUCGUGGUGUAGCGGUGAAAUGCAUAGAUAUCACGAAGAUCUCCGAUUGCGAAGGCAGCAUACCGGCGCUCAACUGACGCUCAUGCACGAAAGUGUGGGUAUCGAACAGGAUUAGAUACCCCUGUAGUC